AGUCUUUUACGACCAGCUCCUCUUGAACUCCCCCAGGGUGGGAACGCAGCAAGGGUAGAGAGUUGUAGCGGUGCGAUAGAAG
RNAcentral lists this signal recognition particle RNA (82 nucleotides) under Sphingobacteriaceae bacterium. RNAcentral describes it as "signal recognition particle sRNA small type". It matches the Rfam family "Bacteroidales small SRP", at positions 13 to 93 of the family's 107-position model. Rfam says of the family: The non-coding component of the signal recognition particle in Bacteroides The record is from RNAcentral. Lineage: Bacteria; Pseudomonadati; Bacteroidota; Sphingobacteriia; Sphingobacteriales; Sphingobacteriaceae.